UGGGGAAUAUUGCGCAAUGGGCGAAAGCCUGACGCAGCAACGCCGCGUGGAGGAUGAAGGUCUUAGGAUUGUAAACUUCUGUCUAGUGAGAAGAAAGAUUUGCUAAUAAAACGGGCAAAAGAUGACGGUAUCACUAAAGAAAGCACUGGCUAAUCUCGUGCCAGCAGCCGCGGUAAUACGAGAGGUGCAAGCGUUAUUCGGAAUUAUUGGGCGUAAAGAGUGCGUAGGCGGUAUGAUAAGUCUGUUGUUAAAUCUCCUGGCUCAACCAGGAAAAUGCAAUGGAAACUAUUGUUCUAGAGGGUGAGAGAGAGAAGUGGAAUUCCAGGAGUUAGCGGUCAAAUGCGUAGAUCUCUGGAGGAACACCGAUGGCGAAGGCAGCUUCUUGGCUCAUUUCUGACGC
RNAcentral lists this ribosomal RNA (400 nucleotides) under uncultured bacterium. RNAcentral describes it as "bacterial SSU rRNA". It matches the Rfam family "Bacterial small subunit ribosomal RNA", at positions 355 to 746 of the family's 1533-position model. The record is from RNAcentral.